CCCCUCUCAGGAUCGCGCCUGGAGAGUUUCCUGUACUCUACCAGUCUCAGCAGCAGGAGGGAGAAUCAAGCAUGGACAUACCCAUUCCAUUCCUAGCUUGGGCAGUGGCUAGCGAGUGGAAGGCAACCUCCUACAAGU
Ornithorhynchus anatinus (platypus) is the source of this 138-nucleotide non-coding RNA. Lineage: Eukaryota; Metazoa; Chordata; Mammalia; Monotremata; Ornithorhynchidae. The record is from Rfam.